UUUUCCUGUUCAUUUUCCAUUUUUUUCCUGUCCUCUUCAUCACAAAAAUUUUCCUAUGAGCAAGAAUAUGAUGGAUGUGCUCUAACUGGGAAUACACAAAAGCCAAAAAGUCAGACUUCAGAAAAAUAUUACUUGGCAAAUGAACUAGAAUGUUCUGUGACCACAGUUCAAAUAUGCUGGUUUUCCGAAAAAUGUUCAGGACAUCCAAUUAUAUUCCCAAGCCUUCCAGUUCAUUUGCAAGACUAGAGGCCCCAGUCUCUGCUGGAAUGAAAAGGACAGCAUUGCUGCAGCAACUGUAAUGAAGGACAGUGGAUGAACACUCAGGCUAGCUGUUUCUCAAGACCCCACAGACCUGCGUGAAGGAGGUGCUGUGAUGAUGAUGUCACUGCUGAAGGAGGACAGACAGAAGGGGAAGACUUAACUCUCUAAUCUCCCCCUCACAUGUGGCUUUCACCAUGUUUAAUUUUUCAGUCUAUUUUUUUUGUGG
Molecule: long non-coding RNA, 487 nt
Filed under: Parus major (Great Tit)
Lineage: Eukaryota; Metazoa; Chordata; Aves; Passeriformes; Paridae
Description: lncRNA (ENSPMJG00000000834.1)
Source: RNAcentral